GAUGAAGAAACGCAGCGAAAUGCGAUACGUAAUGUGAAUUGCAGAAUUCAGUGAAUCAUCGAAUCUUUGAACGCAUAUUGCGCUCUCUGGUAUUCCGGAGAGCAUGCUUGUUUGAGUAUCAGUAAACACCUCAACUUCCAUAUCUUUUUUGAAAUGGGAGUUGGACUUGAGUGAUCCCAACGCUUUUCCUCACCGAAAAGUGGCGGGUUACUUGAAAUGCAGGUGCAGCUGGACUUUUCUCUGAGCUAUAAGCAUAUCUAUUUAGUCUGCCUAAAAAACAGAUUAUUACCUUUGCUGCAGCUAACAUAAAGGAGAUUAGUUCUUGUGCUGACUGAUGCAGGAUUCACAAAGACAGGCUUCGGCCGACUUUGUAAACUCGAUCUCAAAUCAAGUAAGACUACCCGCUGAACUUAAGCAUAUCAAUAAGCGGAGGA
Molecule: unclassified non-coding RNA, 434 nt
Filed under: soil metagenome
Description: partial contains 5.8S ribosomal RNA, internal transcribed spacer 2, and large subunit ribosomal RNA
Rfam family: 5.8S ribosomal RNA (bases 1-121)
Source: RNAcentral